This is a long non-coding RNA of Vulpes vulpes (red fox), 1227 nucleotides long. The record is from Ensembl. Lineage: Eukaryota; Metazoa; Chordata; Mammalia; Carnivora; Canidae.
UCCAAGUUGAAUAUCUUAUUGUUUAAUUAUUUUUAAUCUUUUGGAAAUACAGAGCUGCCCCAGGGUGUUUUCUUUUCUCUGUCCCUCCUACAGAGCAGCCUGCUCUGGGAGCUCAAGUCCUCCUGUGUAUUCCUUGAAGUGGAUCCAAAUUCAUUACAGAUAGACUGUGUCGCGGACGUAGACGAUGAAGCUGCUGAAGAGGGUAGAGGAGGGUGUGUAAAACGGAGAGCAAGCAAGCCACGGUAAGUAGCUAGGGCUAGUUGUCAAACUUGAAAGGUGAUCUUUGACCUUCUCAUGACUCAUAAAGCACUUUAUGACUCCCGCCCCUUGGUCAAGAAUUUUCAAGCUCAACAAAAGAGCUUUUAGCUCAAAUGCCAUUUAACCUAGCUUCACAGGAUGACUUAUUUUAGUUUCUGUGUUGACCAAGGAAAGUCCUUCACUCCGACUACCUAAUAGCCCACCACCUUGGUUGAUCCCAGGUCUGUUUGCCAGGUCAUGCACUUUGUACAGGCAUGGAACAAGCUUUUGACUGAAUCGCUCCUCCUUGGGAGUCCACUGAUGCUGGGUCCUCAGAGGAGUAUGUGUAAAGAGAGGCACAGCUGCAUGCCCAUGCUAACGAAGAAUGCAGAACCUGAGCUUCAGUUUUCUUCCCACUGACGAUGGAAGCUAAGGUACACAACUGGGAAACAAGUGUUUGGCACCUUUUCCACCUGCAGACAGGGUUAUGAUUGUAUUGAUGUUGAGCAUGGCUUGGAGAUUAUCAGGUCUCACAGAAUCGCAUUAUAAUGAUGGGGAUGGUGCAUGGAGGAGUGACGCUGUCCAAUGCCAUUGCCAAGAGCAGCCAGGGCUCUUCUGGGUCCUCGGCUGCCUGAGGCCAGGGAAGGAAGAUGUACCUGGUAGGACAGCGGCACCCCCAGGAAGCCAAGGUCUUGGUGGCAAAGAACAGUGGGAGGUAAAUGGGAUUGCCAAGAUUGUACCCAGUGCUUCCUGUGAGCUGGAUCUGCUUCAUGGGAUGCUGGGGGUGUGGCCGGGGGCAGAACUAGGGAGAAGCAUGAAGAAAAUCAAGGAAGAGUGGGCCCUGGAAGUAGAGCUGGUUCCUCCAGAAGGAUCCCCCGUGCUGUACAACAGUGCAGUGGACAGGACAUGAAGAGUCAGAAGACUUGGAAGUCUUCCUUCACCCUUUAAAUGGCCUUGGCGGUUGGGGCUACUCGAUGUCACUAAGCCAGU